UGAAUACGAGAUGCUACGGCGUCGAAGCAGUCUAUGUCAUACUUCCAAGAAAAGCUUGCACUGUCAUAAACAAAUGAUGCCUGUACCAUAACCGACACAGGUGGGUAGGUAGAGUAUACUAAGGGGCGCGAGAUAACUCUCUCUAAGGAACUCGGCAAAAUGACUCCGUAACUUCGGGAGAAGGAGUGCCUUAUUUAUAAGGUUGCAAUAACAAGAUCCAAGCAACUGUUUACCAAAAACACAGGUCUCCGCUAAGUCGUAAGACGAUGUAUGGGGGCUGACGCCUGCCCAGUGCCAGAAGGUUAAAGAAGUUGGUUAGCAUCCGCGAAGCUGAUAACUGAAGCCCUGGUGAACGGCGGCCGUAACAAUAACGGUCCUAAGGUAGCGAAAUUCCUUGUCGGGUAAGUUCCGACCCGCACGAAAGGCGUAAUGAUUUGGAUACUGUCUCGGAGAGGGGCUCGGUGAAAUAGACUUGUCUGUGAAGAUGCGGACUACCUGCACCAGGACAGAAAGACCCUAUGAAGCUUUACUGUAACCUGAAAUUGAAAUUGGACUUUACUUGCGCAGUAUAGGUGGGAGGCGUUGAGAAUAUUCUUGCGGGAUUAUUGGAGCCAUCAGUGAGAUACCACUCUUGUAAUGUUAGAUUUCUAACUCUGUAUCAUUAUCUGGUCAAAGAACAGUUUCAGGCGGGCAGUUUGACUGGGGCGGUCGCCUCCUAAACGGUAACGGAGGCGCACAAAGGUUUCCUCUGAACGGGUAGAAAUCGUAUCUAGAGUGUAAAGGCAUAAGGAAGCUUGACUGUGAGACCUACAAGUCGAGCAGGGACGAAAGUCGGUCUUAGUGAUCUGACGGUGCUGAGUGGAAAGGCCGUCACUCAACGGAUAAAAGUUACUCUAGGAUAACAGGCUGAUCUCCCCCAAGAGUUCACAUCGACGGGGAGGUUUGGCACCUCGAUGUCGGCUCAUCGCAUCCUGGGGCGGUAGUACGUCCCAAGGGUUGGGCUGUUCGCCCAUGAAAGCGGUACGCGAGCUGGGUUCAGAACGUCGUGAGACAGUUCGGUCCAUAUCCGGUGUAGGCGUUAGAAUAUUGAGAGGAGCCUUCUUUAGUACGAGAGGACCGAGAAGGACAUACCUCUGGUGUACCAGUUAUCGUGCCAACGGUAAACGCUGGGUAGCUAUGUGUGGAGUGGAUAACCGCUGAAAGCAUCUAAGUGGGAAGCCCACCUCAAGAUAAGUAUUCUCA
Molecule: ribosomal RNA, 1242 nt
Filed under: metagenome
Description: bacterial LSU rRNA
Rfam family: Bacterial large subunit ribosomal RNA
Source: RNAcentral